UACGUAGGGGGCUAGCGUUGUCCGGAUUUAUUGGGCGUAAAGAGCUCGUAGGUGGUUUGUCGCGUUGUUCGUGAAAACCUGAGGCUUAACCUUGGGCGUGCGGGCGAUACGGGCAGACUGGAGUACUGCAGGGGAGACUGGAAUUCCUGGUGUAGCGGUGGAAUGCGCAGAUAUCAGGAGGAACACCGGUGGCGAAGGCGGGUCUCUGGGCAGUAACUGACGCUGAGGAGCGAAAGCGUGGGGAGCGAACAGG
This 253-nucleotide ribosomal RNA is filed under the name uncultured bacterium. RNAcentral describes it as "partial 16S ribosomal RNA". It matches the Rfam family "Bacterial small subunit ribosomal RNA", at positions 524 to 776 of the family's 1533-position model. The record is from RNAcentral.